UAGGGAAUCUUCCGCAAUGGGCGAAAGCCUGACGGAGCAACGCCGCGUGAGUGAUGAAGGUCUUCGGAUCGUAAAACUCUGUUAUUAGGGAAGAACAAAUGUGUAAGUAACUAUGCACGUCUUGACGGUACCUAAUCAGAAAGCCACGGCUAACUACGUGCCAGCAGCCGCGGUAAUACGUAGGUGGCAAGCGUUAUCCGGAAUUAUUGGGCGUAAAGCGCGCGUAGGCGGUUUUUUAAGUCUGAUGUGAAAGCCCACGGCUCAACCGUGGAGGGUCAUUGGAAACUGGAAAACUUGAGUGCAGAAGAGGAAAGUGGAAUUCCAUGUGUAGCGGUGAAAUGCGCAGAGAUAUGGAGGAACACCAGUGGCGAAGGCGACUUUGUGGUCUGUAACUGACGCUGAUGUGCGAAAGCGUGGGGAUCAAACAGG
This 429-nucleotide ribosomal RNA is filed under the name Actinomycetes bacterium. RNAcentral's name for it is "Actinobacteria bacterium partial 16S ribosomal RNA". It matches the Rfam family "Bacterial small subunit ribosomal RNA", at positions 355 to 776 of the family's 1533-position model. Lineage: Bacteria; Bacillati; Actinomycetota; Actinomycetes. The record is from RNAcentral.